AGUGAUGACGGCCUUCGGGUGUAAAGCUCUGUCGCCUGGGAAAAAAGGCGCCCUGAUUAACAUGCAGGGCGAGUGAUGGUACCAGGAAGGAAGAGGCGGCUAACUCUGUGCCAGCAGCCGCGGUAAUACAGAGGCCUCAAGCGUUGUUCGGAAUUACUGGGCGUAAAGGGAGUGUAGGUGGUGAUGCAAGUCAGAUGUGAAAGCCCUGGGCUUAACCCGGGAAUUGCAUUUGAUACUGCGUUGCUAGAGUGCAGGAGAGGUGAGAGGAAUUCCUGGUGUAGGGGUGAAAUCCGUAGAUAUCAGGAGGAAUACCAAUGGCGUAGGCAUCUCGCUGGCCUGUAACUGACACUGAGACUCGAAAGCAUGGGUAGCAAAUAGGAUUAGAUACCCUGGUAGUCCAUGCUGUAAACGAUGGGUGCUUGUUGUUAGUAGUGUAAACCCUACUAGUAACGAAGCUAACGCGUUAAGCACCCCGCCUGGGGAGUACGGUCGCAAGAUUAAAACUCAAAGAAAUUGACGGGGA
Molecule: ribosomal RNA, 523 nt
Filed under: uncultured bacterium
Lineage: Bacteria
Description: bacterial SSU rRNA
Rfam family: Bacterial small subunit ribosomal RNA
Source: RNAcentral